This 498-nucleotide ribosomal RNA is filed under the name uncultured bacterium. RNAcentral's name for it is "partial 16S ribosomal RNA". It matches the Rfam family "Bacterial small subunit ribosomal RNA", at positions 29 to 523 of the family's 1533-position model. The record is from RNAcentral.
AUUGAACGCUGGCGGCAUGCUUUACACAUGCAAGUCGAACGGUAACAGGCCGCAAGGUGCUGACGAGUGGCGAACGGGUGAGUAAUGCAUCGGAACGUGCCCAGUCGUGGGGGAUAACGCAGCGAAAGCUGUGCUAAUACCGCAUACGAUCUGUGGAUGAAAGCGGGGGACCUUCGAGCCUCGCGCGAUUGGAGCGGCCGAUGUCAGAUUAGGUAGUAGGUGGGGUAAAGGCUCACCAAGCCGACGAUCUGUAGCUGGUCUGAGAGGACGACCAGCCACACUGGGACUGAGACACGGCCCAGACUCCUACGGGAGGCAGCAGUGGGGAAUUUUGGACAAUGGGCGCAAGCCCGAUCCAGCAAUGCCGCGUGCAGGAAGAAGGCCUUCGGGUUGUAAACUGCUUUUGUACGGAGCGAAAAGGCUCCCUCUAAUACAGGGGGCUCAUGACGGUACCGUAAGAAUAAGCACCGGCUAACUACGUGCCAGCAGCCGCGGUAA